Molecule: unclassified non-coding RNA, 379 nt
Filed under: uncultured Rhodospirillales bacterium
Lineage: Bacteria; Pseudomonadati; Pseudomonadota; Alphaproteobacteria; Rhodospirillales
Description: contains 16S-23S intergenic spacer region
Source: RNAcentral
UCCAGCUUAUCGCUGGCGGUCUCCUGCGAGUGCCCAACUAAAUGAUGGCAACACAGGACAAGGGUUGCGCUCGUUGCGGGACUUAACCCAACAUCUCACGACACGAGCUGACGACAGCCAUGCAGCACCUGUGCUCCUCCCACCCGAAGUGAAGACGCUCAUCUCUGAGCAUCAUAGAGGGCAUGUCAAGGCCUGGUAAGGUUCUUCGCGUUGCGACGAAUUAAACCACAUACUCCACCGCUUGUGCGGGUCCCCGUCAAUUCCUUUGAGUUUUAAUCUUGCGACCGUACUUCCCAGGCGGUGUGCUUAACGCGUUAGCUCCGUCACCGAGAGGUGAACCUCCCAGCGACAAACACACAUCGUUUACGGCGUGGACUAC